GAUGAACGCUGGCGGCGUGCCUAAUACAUGCAAGUCGAGCGAACCACUUCGGUGGAGAGCGGCGAACGGGUGAGUAACACGUAGGAAUCUGCCCAUUAGACGGGGACAACGAUUGGAAACGAUCGCUAAUACCGGAUAGGACGAAAGUUUAAAGAUGCUUCUGGCAUCGCUAAUGGAUGAGCCUGCGGCGCAUUAGCUAGUUGGAGAGGUAAGAGCUCCCCAAGGCGACGAUGCGUAGCCGACCUGAGAGGGUGAACGGCCACACUGGGACUGAGACACGGCCCAGACUCCUACGGGAGGCAGCAGUAGGGAAUCUUCGGCAAUGGACGAAAGUCUGACCGAGCAACGCCGCGUGAACGAUGAAGGCCUUCGGGUUGUAAAGUUCUGUUAUAAGGGAAGAAAGACUAUCAUAGGAAAUGAUGAUAGAGUGACGGUACCUUAUGAGAAAGCCACGGCUAACUACGUGCCAGCCGCCGCCGUAACAC
Molecule: ribosomal RNA, 485 nt
Filed under: uncultured bacterium
Lineage: Bacteria
Description: bacterial SSU rRNA
Rfam family: Bacterial small subunit ribosomal RNA
Source: RNAcentral